CCUACGGGGGGCAGCAGUGAGGAAUAUUGGUCAAUGGUCGGGAGACUGAACCAGCCAAGCCGCGUGAGGGAGGAAGGUACAGAGUAUCGUAAACCUCUUUUGUCAGGGAACAAAGGCGGGGACGUGUCCCCGGAUGAGUGUACCUGAAGAAAAAGCAUCGGCUAACUCCGUGCCAGCAGCCGCGGUAAUACGGAGGAUGCGAGCGUUAUCCGGUUUUAGUGGGUUUAAAGGGUGCGCAGGCGGUCUGUUAAGUCAGCGGUCAAAGCCCGGGGCUCACCCCCGGCCCGCCGUUGAAACUGGCAGUCUCGAGUUGGAGAGAAGUAUGCGGAAUGCGCGGUGUAGCGGUGAAAUGCAUAGAUAUCGCGCAGAACUCCGAUUGCGAAGGCAGCAUGCCGGCUCCACACUGACGCUGAGGCACGAAAGCGUGGGUAUCGAACAGGAUUAGAUACCCUUGUAGUC
This 459-nucleotide ribosomal RNA is filed under the name uncultured bacterium. RNAcentral's name for it is "partial 16S ribosomal RNA". It matches the Rfam family "Bacterial small subunit ribosomal RNA", at positions 338 to 795 of the family's 1533-position model. The record is from RNAcentral.